This 461-nucleotide ribosomal RNA is filed under the name uncultured bacterium. RNAcentral describes it as "partial 16S ribosomal RNA". It matches the Rfam family "Bacterial small subunit ribosomal RNA", at positions 338 to 795 of the family's 1533-position model. The record is from RNAcentral.
CCUACGGGGGGCAGCAGUGAGGAAUAUUGGUCAAUGGGCGGAAGCCUGAACCAGCCAAGUCGCGUGAGGGAUUAAGGCCCUGCGGGUCGUAAACCUCUUUUGCCGGGGAGCAGUGGUCCGGACGCGUCCGGACCGGGAGAGUACCCGGAGAAAAAGCAUCGGCUAACUCCGUGCCAGCAGCCGCGGUAAUACGGAGGAUGCGAGCGUUAUCCGGAUUUAUUGGGUUUAAAGGGAGCGUAGAUGGGUUGUUAAGUCAGUUGUGAAAGUUUGCGGCUCAACCGUAAAAUUGCAAUUGAUACUGGCAGUCUUGAGUACAGUUGAGGUAGGCGGAAUUCGUGGUGUAGCGGUGAAAUGCUUAGAUAUCACGCAGAACUCCGAUUGCGAAGGCAGCAUACCGGCGCUCAACUGACGCUCAUGCACGAAAGUGUGGGUAUCGAACAGGAUUAGAUACCCCGGUAGUC